RNAcentral lists this unclassified non-coding RNA (201 nucleotides) under uncultured fungus. RNAcentral's name for it is "sequence contains ITS1". Lineage: Eukaryota; Fungi. The record is from RNAcentral.
GAACUUACACCCAAGCUUGAAAAGCUUGCCGCGAUACCGGGUGUGGCGGAAACGCCGGAAAGCAAAAUUGCGCUGACGCGCGCCUGGCUUCGGUGCUGGCGCAACAACGGUUUUUGGCUCGCGGGUAUGCCCUCCACGUGGCAGAACCGAUCAAGGGCCGACGGCGUAAGCGUCAAGGACAAGAAGGGCAAAGGUACGGAC